RNAcentral lists this long non-coding RNA (1973 nucleotides) under Lathyrus oleraceus (garden pea). RNAcentral describes it as "Pisum sativum (pea) long non-coding RNA (PSAT_LNC019499)". Lineage: Eukaryota; Viridiplantae; Streptophyta; Magnoliopsida; Fabales; Fabaceae. The record is from RNAcentral.
ACAAAUAGAGCUCUGUUAUUAAUGUUGAGUGUAUAAAAAUUAAAUUAUACAAAAUAUAUGUCAUUAAUUUUAAAAAAAAUCUUAAUCUAUUUUAAACGUUUUUCAUACAUUUGUUUAGAAACAAUACGACCUCUCUAUUAUGUAGGAAAUCCUUCUAACAAGGGAGUGGCAAUAAUUCUAACAAUAUUGAUGAUAUGAUAAUUCAAUGUUUGAAAAUGGCAAAAUAUCAUAUCAGACCAUCGUACAAAACUAAGAAUCGUAUUUUGCACAACCGUUUUGGUUUUCAACGAAGCAGGGAAUCCGUCUAUUGACUGCUGCUUGCAGCAUUUUCUUUCCUGAAAACUCGCAAUUGUUCCUUGAAUUCUUUGCUCUUUUCAAAGUUGGCCUUUCUCUUCACAACUUUCUGUUUGAACACAGAUAAUUGUUACAUGCCACAGGAAAACCAGAUCAAAGCAAAGAACUUUAAAACAAAAAAUAAGGAAAAGAUAAUAAAAACUGAAAACCUCACUUCUGUUCUGAAGCAACGAUCCAAUUUUAUUUUCAAAUCUGUACAUUAGCCAAAGAAUUUUGCAAUAGGGUGUUCCACAUGACACUUUUGAAACUCCUCAAUAAUCUACAUGAAAGCAUAGCCUGAACCAAAGUAUGCUAUAAUAUAAUACACUUGUUCAUAUUUGCUGGACCAUAUAGGAUAACUUUCAUUACCAGAAGAAUAAGAUAAAUGAUCUAAACUUCUAAACUGAGUAAAUUCACAAAUUAACUCUAAAGUUCACUAUGAUCUGCCAAUAUUUAUAUUGCAACAAUAUUUCUAACAGUAUAAAUCAUAAGCAUCUCCACAUUUAACGACAUUUACCGCUGGAGAUUGAACUCAAAAUGUGAAACAAAUAAUCAUGUUUACUACUAGGGAUUUGACUAAUCGAACUUCAGGAGUCCAAUUGUCAGUGAAAAUAGAAAUAAUAUCAUUGAUAGUACAAAGAUCAAUUUGAAUAUUGAUGACAGAAUCAAGACACUCCCAAAAUUUCCCUUUCUACAUGCAAUGAAAAAACAAAUGGUUACAAAUUUAUAAUAGAACAAGGACACUCCCAAAACCAUCUCUUGUGAGCUUGGUCUAAACUCAUAUAUGGUCCCCGAAAGUCCCACCUGCUAGAUCUUGCAUUGGUUGGAGAUGUAUCCAUAACUGAAUACCUACAAACUACGACCUUAAACAACAUGGUUGCACAUGUGGUAUCUAUCUCUAGCCUCGGCUAUGAAGCAAACUAAAUUUCUAACCAUUUCAUUGGUAUUUUUUUACCACAUAUUCAACUACUAAUAGCCAUUAAUAUCACAUGACAUUAACAUAGAAAUAUAUCAAAUUGAUCAUAAGAAACAAGCACAUUAUUAAGAAUAACAAUGAGAUCAUAAACACUUCUAAUAACAAAGAAUUAACCAUUAAAAUAGUGAUAAAUCAAACUCACUUCAGCGCACAUAGGGUGUUUGUGCAAUGUUAAAGGAGGAUGCAUCUUCUCUCAAACAACCAAAUCAAUCAGCAACACCUUCUCCUGCAAUUCAACCACCAACAUCUAUCAUGAAAACUUCUAUAAACCAAAAAGUUGGAAUUGACAAGAUAAAAUCCAUUGAAAAAGAACUAGGGCUUGAAAUCUAGAGCAGUAAAAGAUUAGAAUAUAAGAAGGAGAAAAAAAUGGAAUCGAUUAAAGUGAAAAUCAACGGAAAAAUCGAAAGUAAAACUCAUAAUUAAAAUUCUCGUAAGGAGUAGAAUAUUAGAAGUGAGACGAAAAUGAACUUACGAGAUAUAAAAUAGCGAUAGAGGGAAGGGUUAAGGCAGAGUUUUAGAAGGCGAUGCUGGCCGUGAGGGUCCUGGAAAAGAUGGAAGAACGAAAACAGUAUAUCCCUGAAAUCAAAUUUUUCUUUUUUUUACUUUUAUUUUUAUGGUUUUUUUAAAGAAAAACUUAAUUUUAAAUUUUUAAACAAUUUUUGUU